This 230-nucleotide non-coding RNA is filed under the name Eubacterium sp. RNAcentral describes it as "T-box sequence". It matches the Rfam family "T-box leader". Rfam says of the family: Uncharged tRNA acts as the effector for transcription antitermination of genes in the T-box leader family. T-boxes are found upstream of many aminoacyl-tRNA synthetase genes and some amino acid biosynthetic genes usually in Gram-positive bacteria. The record is from RNAcentral. Lineage: Bacteria; Bacillati; Bacillota; Clostridia; Eubacteriales; Eubacteriaceae.
AAAAAGGCUUUGAUUGGGAGAAGUAUUCAUUUUGAUUUUGUCAGAGAGUAAACGCCAUUGGCUGAAAGCGUUUUCAAAGGAUUUUUGAAGAAAUGCACCCAUGAGCUGACAAAGGGAAAGUAGUAUCUUUGUCCGUAUUUCUGCGUUAAGGAUUUGAGGGUUGCUUUGAUUUUUGUUUAUAAAUCGGAAAGACCAAACUCAGGUGGAACCACGAUAUAUUCGUCCUGUAC